Ribosomal RNA from Erinaceus europaeus (western European hedgehog), 116 nucleotides. NCBI's taxonomy places the organism in Eukaryota, Metazoa, Chordata, Mammalia, Eulipotyphla, Erinaceidae. The record is from Ensembl.
GUUUAGGGCCAUACCUCCCUUAACACACCCUAUCACCAAUCUCUUCUGAUCUUGGAAGCUAAGCAGGGUUGGGCCCAGUUAGUAUUUGGAUGGGAGAAAAUUAUGAGAUUUAUACU